GGUCAGGACGAACGCUGGCGGCGUGCUUAACACAUGCAAGUCGAGCGAUGAAGCUCCUUCGGGAGUGGAUUAGCGGCGGACGGGUGAGUAACACGUGGGCAACCUGCCUUGUAGAGAGGAAUAGCCAUUCGAAAGGAUGAUUAAUACCUCAUAAUAUUGUAGCUUCGCAUGAAGCAACAACCAAAGGAGCAAUCCACUACAAGAUGGGCCCGCGGCGCAUUAGCUAGUUGGUGGGGUAACGGCUCACCAAGGCGACGAUGCGUAGCCGACCUGAGAGGGUGAUCGGCCACAUUGGGACUGAGACACGGCCCAGACUCCUACGGGGGGCAGCAGUGGGGAAUAUUGCACAAUGGGGGAAACCCUGAUGCAGCCAACGCCGCGUGAGUGAUGACGGUCUUCGGAUUGUAAAGCUCUGUCUUCAGGGACGAUAAUGACGGUACCUGAGGAGGAAGCCACGGCUAACUACGUGCCAGCCGCCGC
This 480-nucleotide ribosomal RNA is filed under the name uncultured bacterium. Its description in RNAcentral is "bacterial SSU rRNA". It matches the Rfam family "Bacterial small subunit ribosomal RNA", at positions 22 to 518 of the family's 1533-position model. The record is from RNAcentral.